AACGAACGCUGGCGGCGCGCCUAAUACAUGCAAGUCGAGCGGUAAGGCCCUUUCGGGGGUACACGAGCGGCGAACGGGUGAGUAACACGUGGGUGACCUGCCCUUAGCUCUGGGAUAAGCCUGGGAAACUGGGUCUAAUACCGGAUAUGACUCCAUGACGCAUGUUGUGGGGUGGAAAGCCUUGUGCGGCUGGAGAUGGGCCCGCGGCCUAUCAGCUUGUUGGUGGGGUGAUGGCCUACCAAGGCGA
This 247-nucleotide ribosomal RNA is filed under the name uncultured Actinomycetes bacterium. RNAcentral's name for it is "uncultured actinobacterium partial 16S ribosomal RNA". It matches the Rfam family "Bacterial small subunit ribosomal RNA", at positions 29 to 276 of the family's 1533-position model. Lineage: Bacteria; Bacillati; Actinomycetota; Actinomycetes. The record is from RNAcentral.